AACGCGAAGAACCUUACCUGGGUUUGACAUGCACAGGACGCAUCCAGAGAUGGGUGUUCCCUUGUGGCCUGUGUGCAGGUGGUGCAUGGCUGUCGUCAGCUCGUGUCGUGAGAUGUUGGGUUAAGUCCCGCAACGAGCGCAACCCUUGUCUCAUGUUGCCAGCACGUGAUGGUGGGGACUCGUGAGAGACUGCCGGGGUCAACUCGGAGGAAGGUGGGGAUGACGUCAAGUCAUCAUGCCCCUUAUGUCCAGGGCUUCACACAUGCUACAAUGGCCGGUACAAAGGGCUGCGAUGCCGUGAGGCUUAGCGAAUCCUUUUAAAGCCGGUCUCAGUUCGGAUCGGGGUCUGCAACUCGACCCCGUGAAGUCGGAGUCGCUAGUAAUCGCAGAUCAGCAACGCUGCGGUGAAUACGUUCCCGGGCCUUGUA
Molecule: ribosomal RNA, 428 nt
Filed under: uncultured Actinomycetes bacterium
Lineage: Bacteria; Bacillati; Actinomycetota; Actinomycetes
Description: bacterial SSU rRNA
Rfam family: Bacterial small subunit ribosomal RNA
Source: RNAcentral